Anguilla rostrata (American eel) is the source of this 2374-nucleotide non-coding RNA. NCBI's taxonomy places the organism in Eukaryota, Metazoa, Chordata, Actinopteri, Anguilliformes, Anguillidae. The record is from the annotation of a RefSeq genome assembly.
CACAGUGUGAGCUCCCAGAUUCAGUGGCUGCGCUGCUCAGCUGGCUGAGAGCAAAAUGAAAAUUAGUGGCUGCUGUCAGGACAUGGGAAAAAGCAGGAUUUUCUGUGUCCUCCAGGACUGAUGGAGGAAUUACAGUUUAGAUAAAAAAUUACGAUAAACCUUUGUUUAAAACAUGGAAUACAAUUUUGCAAGGUUAAGUCAGUUUUCCAAUAUUUAAGCACAAGCAUGUUCAUUGCUAGUUGUCAAAAUUCAAUUGCAUUAAAUUUAAAAAAGAAUGUUUUCUGAGUGAAAUCAGAGAAUAUUCAUUAUAAUCUUGUUUUUCACUUUUCAUAAAUUCUAAACAGAUGGACUGCACUUGAAUUAUUUCCGGAGUCUGACUGAUGUCCUUUACUGUCUGAUCUCCCAUAAAGAAACUAAAAUUAUAACACACAAUGUGAAUUUAUUCAAUACAUUUUUUAGAGAAUGAUAAGCCAUAUUCAGCCUGCAUGUAUUCACCAGUUAUACUUACAAAAUCAUACAUUACAAAGCCAAAAAUAGUAAUAUUGACUUUCAAAUGCUUGACUGGGGAAAACAGCAGUGAAUAGAGCACGUGUCCCAGCUCUCUACAGACCCACUGCUGUUCACACAUCGGAGCUCCUCUAACUGUGUGUGACAGGAUUUGUAUAGAGGAAGGGGCUUUGCAUACCUGUCCUGCCUCACUGCUCCACACACUUUAAGACCCCCAGUACAGAUCAGUGACUGUCCAGUCCUUUCACAGACACUGACACAGGCAGCAUUAUGAUGAUGUCAAACUUUCUACUGCUGGUGAUGCUGGGACUCCUUAUACAGGAAUCAAUGGCAGAUAUAAUUCUGACUCAGUCUCCAUCAGCUCAGUCUGUUCAGCUGGGAGACAUUGUUUCUAUCAGCUGUACAACCAGUCAGAGUGUGGGCAGCUGGCUCAGCUGGUACCAGCAGAAACCUGGUCAGGCUCCUAAACUUCUGAUUUAUGCUGCCACAAAUCGCCAGUCUGGGAUUCCUGAUCGUUUCAGUGGGAGUGGAUCUGGGACUCAGUUUACACUGAAAAUCGCUGGAGUCCAGGCUGAAGAUGCAGGAGAUUAUUACUGUCAGCAGUACAACAGCUACCCGCUCACACAGUGAUACAGAGCUGUACAAAAACCUCCCUCAGUCAGACUGCACAGAGACUGCACUGCUGCAGCUGGGACCUACUGCAGGUGCUGAGCGGGGAGGCACUGUUCUGGAAUACCAGUAUUUACAACAGGGCUGUAGGGGGCGACAAUGAGCCACAGUCCUGAAUACACACCCCUCUGUACUGAAGAGGAGCUGCUCUGUGUCACACAGAACCUAUAACAGAGCUGCUGCUGAACCACACACAUUUCUGUAAGACUACAUCACCGGGAACACAGAGUAUCAUUUCACAAGCAGCAAUGAUCACCUGGGUGUACUGAGUCCACCCAAAAGCAGAGUAUGUGUACUUUCUCCUAGAGGAGGAAGGAGUGGGAUUUCAAAUGAACUGCUGUCUGAAGGGUAUUUUGAGUUGAAUACAUACAUCAGAGUUUAUGUAAUUAAAGGUGUUUCUGUUCAGAUGGUAUCCUGGUGACAUCUCAGCCACGAUGCACUGAAUCGCAGAAUUUAUUAUUUUCUGCGACAGUAUUUCUUUGAUUGGCACGAUCAUCAUAUUAUUUUAAGUUUCAAAUUUUGUUAUUAGUUAUUCAAUUUAACCACAACGUAGCAUGAUACAGCAUGGACAGAAUUCCAUAACAAGCUCCCAUAUUAUUAAAUUAUAUCAUUUUAAACUCAAAAGAUAUCAAUGCAUUCAUUUUGAACCGAUAUCCCUUGAGCUUAAUGCAUUCAAUUGCACAGGCAUCCUUUAUAUUUCAGGCAUGGGGUCAGUACAGGGUUAGUAUUAUCAAAACCUGUUUGUGUUUGCUGAAUAAAUGCAACAUUGUGUAUCUGUAAAUUUGAAGGAUGGAAUAUAUGAAAGUGAGAAAACCCCUCAGAUACCCGUCAAGUGUCAAGGUCACCAACUGUAAGAGACCCCUCUGAUGCACCAAACAGCAGAAGUAUCUGAGUGGAGAAGAAAUGGGUGCACUCUUACCUGGUGCUACAUGGAACAGGACUAAUUUAAUAUUAUUUCAAUUAUUUGACUCCAAAAUAAUGUUUUAACCUGUAACCUAACAAUUAUGGGGACCUAUUUUUCUCCAUUCGAGAAGUGCAACAUAUACAAUUAAAUUUUUCAGUCCAUGAAAUCACAAGGAAACAUUUAAAUGACUAAAACAUUCAUUGAAGCCACUGAAAAUUUUAAAAUGGAGAAAAUACUAUUUUUUGGACAAUCUUUGGAGAAUGUGAAAUACAAAUAGAAAUUGUAAUCAUCAAA